Molecule: long non-coding RNA, 2861 nt
Filed under: Solanum tuberosum (potato)
Lineage: Eukaryota; Viridiplantae; Streptophyta; Magnoliopsida; Solanales; Solanaceae
Description: long non-coding RNA (STUB_LNC006204)
Source: RNAcentral
AAAAAAAUCUGCUUUUCCCACUUUUAGUUAUCUUUUUUCACUAAUUGUUUUCAUUUUAUUUUAUAAGAAGUCCAAAAGUACAUGUAAUGUGGGUAACAUCUUAUAAACAGAAGUUCAAAGAUCACAAUUGAUCUUACAAUCGUUUCUAAGCCAAAAUGGUGAGUCUUAUUUUGAGUUUGAACUUCCUUUUCAUUUCCUCUAUUAAUGUAUUGUUCAAUUCUUGGAGUUUUGUUCUUAAAAUUUCUUUAUUAAGAACUUGUCCUUUUUUCUUUUUUUUUUAACUUUUACAAAUAUAUAUUCAGUUUUGAUAUGAAGUUGUUGGAAAAUAUGGGUACUACAAACAGAGGUUAGAGGCUAUUUGAAGGAAUUGCUUUUUCGAUCGUAUGAAGGGAUUGUUGUACACAAGCGUAAAUAAGAUUAGAUUUGUUGUGCACAUGAAAUAUAUUUUUUUAUAUCAAAUUGAAGAUCACAUAGGUAAAAUAAUUUCAUAGUAUGUAUUGAAAUUCUUAUGAACAUUUUAUUUCUCCAAAUAAAUAAUUUUUUUGUGUACAAAAAAUGUGAUGAACAUACCUGUUGAUAUCUAUAUUUUUUUGUUUAACGGUGAUGAUUUAAUUUUGAUGUCGAGCAGGGUUGUUGUAUACGGAUACUGUGAAGUUCAUGAUUAUUAUGAUCACAUUCUUUCUUUCAUUUUGAAUCUCUAGGUAAUUGUUAUUUUAAUUUUAAGACUGUCUUUCUCUUUUUCUUUUUUUUUUUCAUUUCUAUUUCAUUUUUAUUUAUUUUUUUGUUGAAAACGUUUGAUUUUUAUACCAUGGAAUUACUUAUUUUAUUUUUUAUUCAUAUUUGUCUUUUUCCAUUUAUCAGGCACGUUUCUUUUAAAUUUUCAACUCUUUAAAUAUAGGUAGUAUGAAUACUUUUUGCAAUAAUAAAUAAAUAUUAUUCAAAGUGAAAAACUCCAAAUAUGAAAAGUUAAAUUAUCAUUUUACCCCUAAGCUAAAUUAAACAUUUAAUUAAUUAAAUAUUAAAUAAUAAUAUUUUAAUUAUUUUUUGAAUGGUAAGUUCUUUAUUAGAAAGGUUAUGUAGAAGAACAAGAGUCAAUUAUGAUUUCUAGAAUUUUAAGAGUCAUCUGUAAUUGGUAAAAUAGUUAAAAUUGAAUAAUUGUUCUUAAAUAAGUACAUGAAUCAAGGUUUUCCCCCUUUUAAAUCUUAAAUUAAAGAAUAUGAAGAGUUGCAGCUAAAUCAAUAUAUACCAUUACCAAAUACGAAUUUGUCAUCUUGGAUUCUUCCACUAGCAGAUCUACGUACUCCUAUGCUAAAGUUCCUUCUUUUCUUCUCUUUUUCCAUCUUCUAUUGUUUGUUAGUAAGAUUUUGAUAAUUAAUAUAUUUUUUCAAAUUAGUCUAUUUAUGAUCUGAGAUUAACAAUAGAGUGUAUAGCAAGUUUAACAUCUUCACUUUAUUUAGAAACACCGAAAAUAAUUUUGAGGAAGAUGAAUUCAUAAGGUUAGAAAUAUCAAGUAUUACUUCUACAUUGUCCUACAAUGAUUAAGAUUGAUUACCUUACAUUAAAUGAGUCAAAUUCAUUCGAUUCGACAAUUUGUGCUUUUUUAUAAAUUAUAUUUGGAAGGUUUGAUUCAUUGUUUUAAAGUUAUGCACAAGAACGAUCUAAUAUUGUAAUGUUAUAAUUUUACCCGUGUUUUUUAAAGGAAGAAAAUAGUAAGAUGGAUUCACUAAGGUUAAGUUGGUACAACAUUUUAAAAUAAUAUUUAUUUAACUUUAUAAGAGUUUUUACUUAUUGACGUAUGGGGUACACGCGUGUUGCGCGUGCCCAAAGACUAGUUAUUAUAUAUAUAACUAACUAAAUAAAAGUGCUCUCUCAAACAGUUUAAACAUUCAGAUAAGAUGAUCACAGAGUUCAAUGAUAACGAGUUAUUAUAUUCACCUUCAUCUGCUCAGGAUCGCGACUGAUCAGGAAAGAGUCUGCCCCCAAACGCUCAAUUGAUUUUUGCUUCUUAUUACCAGAUGUACUAAUGACAGUCACUUUGGUUCUGAAUGCCUUAGCGAACUUAACAGCCAUAUGUCCUUGCCCUCCAAGACCAAUGUGCAUUCUAGGCUUUUCGAGUCCAAAAUAUUCCAAAGGACUAUAAGUAGUAAUUCCAGCACAUAACAGCGGAGCAACGUCCAUCGACAAGUUUUCAGGCCAAUGUACUACAAAAUGCUCAUGUGAUACCAUCAUGUCGGAGUAACCUCCAAACGUGAGGGUUCCGUCUAAGCUAUAGCCGUUGUAUGUAGGAAUCUGAUGAGGACAGUAAUUCUCGAGAUCAACGCUACAAUUCUCACAUUUUCUACAUGAUCCUACCAUACAUCCAACACCUACUUUGUCUCCAACCUUAAAUUUCUCCACCUUGCUUCCAACCUCAAUUACAACACCAACAACCUCAUGCCUAGACUAAUAUUUCAAAAUUUUUAAUUCUUGAUCUUAAAACAAAUAAAAAAUAACCAAAAUUUAAUAGUUUGCUUUUAACCCAAACAAUGCACAUCUCUUUGCUUGAAUAUUGAGUAGCCUUUGUUAGAAAUUGUUUUACUCUCAAUGGAAGAAUUUAAUUUCCAUGAAUUUGAAUUAAGUCAUGCCCCAAUGUACAUACGUGCAGGAUAUCGAGUAGAUUAAUUCGCAAUAAUUCGAUCCAACGAAGAUAUUUUCUAAGGUAUAGUCUUUCUUUGCAGCUUCAUCCACUUGUAUUUUGAGCAGUCCCAUUGUGUUCAUAUUACUGUGGACCCCACAACAAUAAUUCAAUUCAAUAUGAGUAGACCCCAUGUUCUAAAUUUUGCAAGUGUAGAGCUCAAAUAUUCUACUGAUAUAUAGAUAAG